GCUGGCGUGGCGGAACGGCAGACGCAGCGGACUUAAAAUCCGCGGGGGCGGAAGCCCCGUGAGGGUUCGAGUCCCUCCUCCAGCA
Molecule: transfer RNA, 85 nt
Filed under: Gemmataceae bacterium
Lineage: Bacteria; Pseudomonadati; Planctomycetota; Planctomycetia; Gemmatales; Gemmataceae
Description: tRNA-Leu
Rfam family: tRNA
About the family: Transfer RNA (tRNA) molecules are approximately 80 nucleotides in length. Their secondary structure includes four short double-helical elements and three loops (D, anti-codon, and T loops).
Source: RNAcentral